RNAcentral lists this ribosomal RNA (253 nucleotides) under uncultured bacterium. Its description in RNAcentral is "partial 16S ribosomal RNA". It matches the Rfam family "Bacterial small subunit ribosomal RNA", at positions 524 to 776 of the family's 1533-position model. The record is from RNAcentral.
UACAGAGGGUGCAAGCGUUAAUCGGAUUUACUGGGCGUAAAGGGCGCGUAGGUGGUUGCGUAAGUGAGAUGUGAAAUCCCCGGGCUUAACCUGGGACGUGCAUCUUAGACUGCGUAACUGGAGUGUAGUAGAGGGUAGUGGAAUUUCCGGUGUAGCGGUGAAAUGCGUAGAUAUCGGAAGGAACACCAGUGGCGAAGGCGGCUACCUGGACUAACACUGACACUGAGGCGCGAGAGCGUGGGGAGCAAACAGG